AAAGGAAAUCAAUUCAAGUUUCACAAUCAACGGAAAAUCCAGAACCCUUCGAAACCCAUUUUGCAAGAAAUACAACUAAAUAAGAUCCAAUGGGAUCCAGUUCUUAGCAGUCCCAGCCUAGUCAGAAGUACAAAGUCAAAUACCAUUUGCACAUCACCAAGAGGUACAAUCUGAUGAGUAACAGGAUAUCUGAUCUAAAAGCUUGCAAGGUUUCACAUGCUGUUUGAGUAUCACCAGGGCAGAUCAAGAAGAAAUAUGAAGGCCAGGUUCAUAACAAGCAGUAACUUCAUUGCAAUUACAGAUUUAAAUUAAAAAAAUGAAUGAAUUUAGAUAAAUGUGUCAAUACAUAUUGAAUGUUGCUUAAACUA
This is a long non-coding RNA of Lytechinus variegatus (green sea urchin), 368 nucleotides long. RefSeq lists it as uncharacterized. Lineage: Eukaryota; Metazoa; Echinodermata; Echinoidea; Temnopleuroida; Toxopneustidae. The transcript has 3 exons. The record is from RefSeq and is a predicted model, not a curated record.